AGCUGCUGGCCACGUCACUAGACUCGAUUUUAGAUCUUGUGCGUGUGACAGCGGCUAU
RNAcentral lists this microRNA precursor (58 nucleotides) under Parasteatoda tepidariorum (common house spider). Its description in RNAcentral is "microRNA pte-mir-210 precursor". Its record names the gene pte-mir-210. The record is from miRBase by way of RNAcentral. Lineage: Eukaryota; Metazoa; Arthropoda; Arachnida; Araneae; Theridiidae.